UCUAUACUUCCAUCUCAAGAAAUUCUUUUUUUUCCGCAGGGGGUCGUGAUGUCUUUCUACGGAAUCGCAGGCCUAUUCAUUAGCUCCUACUUGUGGUGUACUAUUUUGUGGAAUGUAGGUAGUGGGUUCGCAAGAAUGAAACUCAAAGGAAUUGACGGGGGCCCGCACAAGCGGUGGAGCAUGUGGUUUAAUUCGAUGCAAAGCGAAGAACCUUACCAGGGCUUGACCAGUAUACAGAGAUAUAUCGAAAAGGAACUUGUAUCUGAUAUCUUUCUAGAGGCUAAUAAAUCUUUUUAUUUUUUAUAUGGCUAUGUUCUAUUUGUAGGAGUAAAAUAAGGAUUAGGCUGUGGAGAGAUGGCUGAGUGGUUGAUAGCUCCGGUCUUGAAAACCGGUAUAGUUCUAGGAACUAUCGAGGGUUCGAAUCCCUCUCUCUCCUUUUGCUUAUUGAAUACGUUUGUUUCUUUCAUUUUUUUCUGUCCCUUAUCUUUCUUUCAUAAAAAGGAAUGAAUGGCUCGGCUAGAAAAAAAUAACGAGCCACACACUAAGCAUAGCAAUUAUAUUAAAUGAUUUAUCAAUUUUCAUUAAAUCUUAUAGAAAGAGGUAUAAUUUCUUCUUUUGCAGGGAUUUCAGGAAAAAAGUCUCUUGUCAUUUUUUAACAAAUUCAAUAUAAAAAAACCAAACUUUUUCUAUUAUCUAUUAAUGUGUAUCUAUCCGUACCGUAAUAUUUUUGAAUAUUAUGAAUUAGAGAAAUUUACAACUCUACGAAUAGUUUUUUGAACUGCAUGUUGUAAACGACCAAGAGCCAAUCCGAAUUGAUCUUGUAACAGAUCUGCAACCGAACGAAUACGUUUAUUUUUCAAGUGAUUCAUAUCGUCAAUUGAUAAUACUAUAUUUUAUUAUUUUAUUAUUUUAUUUGUAUUUCUUUAUUGUAUUAUACCUUAAUAUAUAUAUUCUAGAUAUAUAGAAUAGACGAAUCUCGAUUUGUCAAGUCUCAUGAUCAUAUUUCCCGACAAACCGGUUACACUAAGACCCACGGAAACACGUAUGGGCUCGGGAAAGGGGUCCCCCGAAUAUUGGGUAUCCGUUGUUAAACCUGGUCGUAUACAAUGGAUCUACGAAAAGAUCGUGUAUUUACAACUACAACGGAAUAGUAUACAAAGUCAACACCAAUGAUUAAAUAGAAUUUAUGGCUGCACAAACCGUUGAAGAUAGUUCUAAACCUAGGCCAAAACGAACUGGUGCAGGUAGUUUACUGAAACCCUUGAAUUCGGAAUAUGGGAAAGUCGCCCCGGGUUGGGGGACUACUCCUUUUAUGGGGAUCGCAAUGGCAUUGGCACCUUUUCGAACACAACUGAUGCAUUCCAAAAUAACUCUGAUUCUAACAUCUUUUCCCUUGGCCAUGAACCUCCUUUUCUUUUUGGAUUGACUUAACUUAAUUCUUCUACUUAUUCUUUUAUUCUUCUAUUUUGAAUCCGAAGAAGAAGAAUAAAAUUCAUUAGAAUAAUUUUUUUUUCGGGAUGUAAUCCCAUGGAGAGGAAAAAGGGGUAUCUUGUAAAUUCAAGGGUAGGGCUUGCAUUCUGAUAAUACUGAAUCAAUUCAAUAUUAUGAAUAUCGGGUCUAUCAAAUCAAUUCAUGGAUGAGAGUUAUAUUUCACGGAUGAGAGUUGGGAACUCGUGGGAAUGUGUUCUUAUUUAUUGAUAGGCUUUUGGUUUACACGACCAAUCGCAGCGAGUGCUUGUCAAAAAGCUUUUGUAACUAAUCGUGUAGGGGAUUUUGGUCUAUUAUUAGGAAUUUUAGGUUUUUUUGGAUAACAGGUAGUUUAGAGUUUAGGGAUUUGUUCAAAAUAGCUAAUAACUGGAUUCCUAAUAAUGGAAUUAACUCUUUACUUACUACUUUGUGUGCUUUUUUAUUAUUCCUUGGUGCAGUUGCGAAAUCCGCACAAUUCCCUCUUCACGUAUGGUUACCCGAUGCUAUGGAAGGGCCCACUCCUAUUUCGGCUCAAAAGAGGAAAACAUCUUCCAUAAUUUCUUUUUUGUUCAAUUCUGGACAAAAAAGAAAAGGAAAAAGGAAUUUAUAGGGACAGUGUUACCCCCUAUAUCCCCUAGUUUAUAUUGUAGGAAUAAUAAAAUAAUUUAGCAGUCUGACACACUUACGUCCUUGCAAAGUAAAUAAUUAUUAUUGUAGUCGUAACCGUAGAAUAGGAUCCUAAUCAAAAUAAAUACAUUUGGUUCAGGCGCUAUUAGCAUGGUAAGAAAAGAUUUUUUUUUUACCCAAAGGUUUAGAAGACCUCUGUCCUAUCCAUUAGACAAUGGACGCUUUUCUUUCAUAUUUUAUUCUUUCUUUUAUUUUUUUCCUUCUUCCGAGAAAAAACUGUUAGACCAAAACUCUUUUAGGAAAUCAAAAAAUCCAGAUACAAAUGCAUGAUGACAAAAAGUUUGAGAGUAAGCAUUACAUAAUCUCCAAGAUUUUCUUUAAGGAAUAGAUUACCAGUUUUUCCUUACCACACGGAUCCACUAGGAUGGUUUUUUUUAUACCUAAAAAUGCAAAAAAGAAUUCUUGAAAAAAAUUGCAAGAAUUCUUUGUCAAGGUAAUCCUCCUUUGAAACACUUUGGUAUUGCUCCUAGAUAGAUCAUAAUACAAAAAAUCAAUCAGAGCACAGGGAGCCAUCUCAUUAUCUUUCCGUAAAGAAAAACUAUGGUGGACUAACUGAUCUUUAAAUCAGUUUAUGAAAGAGCCCAAUGCAAAAAAAUGCAUGUUGGGUCUUUGAAACAGUUCAAAUCAUUUCGAUAAUAAUCCGUUUGAUCUGUAUUCCGCUAUUCCGACGAAUAUUUUUUUAGUCUUACUUAUCUUUAUCUUAUCUUAUUUUCCUAGUUGUGCUAAGUAAUGUGCGCGGUACAAAGUUCUUGGUAGAGAACUUCUUUGAGUCAUCCUAUUUUUCUGUUCAUAUGAAGGAAAUUAAUAUGCGAUUUUCAAAAUAGGGGAAUCCAAAUGAAACCCUUUUUUGGCUCAGUCUAUCUGGAAUGCUUUUGUAUAAUUAGGAAUUAAUUUGUCCAAACACUAAUUGGUCGUGUAUUAGCAGACAAUAUAUAUCGGUUCACGAUGCAUUGCCGCGCGAAAUCAAGAUAUUGGAAUUGGAUUAGUCAAUCGAUUCAUAACUGCCUUUCGAGCACAACCAUUUCGAGCACAACCAAUAUAUAUUAGAACCCCCUUUACUUGCCGAAGCACUUCUUGGAUCUGUCAAUUAUGCUAUGGCCGGAGUCCUACUCAUAGUGAUCUGGUCGAAUUUGGAGAAGCCCCGACGGUUAAACAACUUAUUAGAAACGCAAGACAGCCAAUACGAAAUGCUCGAAAAACGGCCGCGCUUAAAGGAUGCCCUCAGCGUCGAGGAACAUGUGCUAGGGUGUAUGUGCGAUUCGUUCAGAUCAUGACUUCAAACAAAUAUUAAAAAAAUUGAAGUAUCCAUGAUUAGUACCAAUGAAUAGGAUAUAGCUUCUCUAUCCUAGAUUUCUAUGGAAUUUGACUGAAAUGCACGAUCUUCACAGGUAUCACUUUUCACGAUACCUAAAAGGUGGAAUAGCGAUUUUCGAACCAUUUCCUAUAAGAGAAUGGUUUCCAUUACUUUGAGAAAUGGAUUCUUAUGCCUGUUAUACCUCUAUUCUUUUUUCUAUUAGCCUUUGUUUGGCAAGCUGCUGUAAGUUUUCGAUGAAAUCUUUAGUACUCUGUAUGCCAAAUUGAAUGAUGUGUUCAUUCCAAAAAAAUUUAAAAAAGGGUAAAAGCUUUGUCGAAAUCCCUAUAAUGAGUAGCAUUUGCGGCUGCCGAAUAAACCAACUUUAAGAUGGGAUAAGAUGCUCGAUAAGGCCGCAAAUUGGGGGAAUUCGUGCCUACUCGGCAUUUCACGAGUUAUGAAAAUGCAAGAAAGGAUACUAAAUCUCGUCGUUAACUGAAUUCUGAAUAGAAUAAUUAAUUGGAAUUCCAAUUAAUCAUUGAAGAAAUUAAAAAGGGAUUAAAUAAAAAAAUCCAAGUCUUAAAUGAAAGGAUCUGGUUGGAAUCUUAAAGUGUGGUAGAAAGAACUACAUAUAGUUUUUUCUACGACACUUUAGAUUAUUUCUAUUAUAUUAUCUUUGAAUCUACAUAGAAUAGAUUAGUAGAUUGAAAUAGUUAAGUAGUCUAAUUCAAUUUCUUUUUUCAUUGCAUCCACUUAAUUCCAAUCAGGUCAAAAUAAAAAAAUCUAAGACAAUUCUUGACCAAAGAAUCCAUGGAAGGAAAGAAAAAUAAUAUUAAGAAUAGACUAUAGUAAAAAGUAAAAGUAAAUGGAAAAUGUGUGAUAUGCCGUGAAUAGUUCCGUGGAAGAAAGUCUAAUUUUCUUAUGGCGUAUAUCCGCCUGGGUCGACCUUCUAUGUCUGGGUCGACCGUUUCAUUUCAUUUUCUAUUAUAUUAGAGUUUUCCUUUUUUUAUUAUCUGUGAAUGAAUAUUCUAAUGGGAAUGGAAUUUCAUAAUACUGAAAGAGAAGAGCUAGCAAUUCAGAACGCAAAUUGCGUUUUAAUACGUCUCACUAUUCUAAUUUUUAGAAGAAAUGGCCCUAUUAAAGAAACUAGAAGAAUUAUGGAAAUGAGUUCAAACGGAAGAUAAAAAUCGGUUGCUAAAUGAAUUCCAAUUUGUUGAACAUUAUUUAUGAGACCCUGUUCUACUAUUUGGUUUGAUCUUGUAGUCCAAAGAAUUCCAUACCAUGACGUAUCUGGGAUAGUAGUCAUUAGCGAAAAAACAAUAGCUGUGUUCGGGGGGGGUUAUUGUCUAUCAUUGGCCUCUAUGGUAGAACCCGUCGGGGAGGCCUGAGAGGCGGUGGUUUACCCUGUGGCGGAUGUCAGCGGUUCGAGUCCGCUUAUCUCCAGCCCGUGAACUUAGCGGAUACUAUGAUAGCGAUAGCACCGAAUUUUGCCAAUUCGGCAGUUCGAUCUAUGAUUUCACAUUCAUGGGCGUUGAUAAGAUCCUUCCAUUUAGUAGCACCUUAGGAUGGCAUAGCCUUAACGUUAAUGGCGAGGUUCAAAAGAGGAAAGGCUUGCGGUGGAUACCUAGGCACCCAGAGACGAGGAAGGGCGUAGCAAGCGACGAAAUGCUUCGGGGAGUUGAAAAUAAGCAUAGAUCCGGAGAUUCCCAAAUAGGUCAUUACAAUGUAGCGGGUAUAGUUUAGUGGUAAAAGUGUGAUUCGUUCUAUAUAAUAACUGAAUUUGAAAUGAUAUACUUAAGGCAUCCUUAAGUUUUUUAUUUUUAUAUUCCGAUGAAAACUUUAGUUCUUAUAAAGGAUUAAAUCCUUUCUAUCUAUUCUGGUGUGGAUGGCAAGCAGGCCUAUAUUUCUUGGUUUCAAUAGGACUCCUUACGAGCGUUCUUUCUAUCUACUAUUAUCUAAAAAUAAUCAAGUUAUUAAUGACUGGACGAAACCAAGAAAUAACCCCUUAUGUGCGAAAUUAUAGAAGAUCCCCUUUAAGAUCAAACAAUUCCAUCGAAUUGAGUAUGACUGUAUGUGUGAUAGCAUCUACUAUACCAGGAAUAUCAAUGAACCCCAUUCUUGCGAAAAAUUGGAUCGGAUUUUGCAGUUCUUUUUUCUGCAGUACCUCGACGUGACAUGAGCGUGAAAGAGGUUCAAGAAUCCGUUUUCUUUUUAUAAGGGCUAAAAUCACUUAUUUUUUUGGCUUUUUGACCCCAUAUUGUAGGGUGGAUCUCGAAAGAUAGGAAAGAUCUCCCUCCAAGCCGUACAUACUAGAAAAAAGGGCUUUCUACAUAGGGAUCGUAAAAACAACGAUUUUUCCCUAUCAGCUGUAGGAAGGAAGGACACUUCACGAGAAUCAAAAAAUGUUGGUGGGCAUGUAUGGUUGGGUUUUAUUUGUGUAUUUGGCGGAAUUUGGCAUAUUUUAACCAAACCCUUCGCAUGGGCUCGCCGUGCAUUUGUAUGGUCUGGAGAAGCUUACUUGUCUUAUAGUUUAGCUGCUUUAUCUGUCUUUGGUUUUAUCGCUUGUUGUUUUGUAUGGUUCAAUAAUACAGCUUAUCCGAGUGAGUUUUAUGGACCCACCAGGCCAGAAGCUUCUCAAGCUCAAGCAUUUACUUUUCUAAUUAGAGACCAGCGUCUUGGAGCUAAUGUGGGAUCCGCUCAAGGACCCACAGGUUUAGGUAAAUAUCUAAUGCGUUCCCCAACUGGGGAGGUUAUCUUUGAAGGGAAAACUAUGCGUUUUUAGGACCUUCGUGCUCCAUGGUUAGAACCUCUAAGGGCCCCAACGGUUUGGGAUCUAUAAGCCAGGGCGGCGGUUUCAGGUUAUGUUCAAGGGUGUGGAGACUGAUCGCGUAGGUGACAAAGUCUUUGCCUGAUUUGGUGCGCAACCUCAGGGCUAGUGUCUGCGACUCUCUGUAUCGGUACUGACCCGUUUCCCUUAUUAGCUUAUAUCUUUCUUCUAAAUGAAAGGCAAACCGAUUACCUGGCCUAGAUAGCUAGUGCGCAUGCACCACUUAAUUAUCUUAUAUCGACCUUGCUGUAUAUAACGGCUAUUUCUAUAUAGAAUCUUCAUGUGGCCAGCCACAUACGAAGCUGCGGUUAUGGACCAUUCUUAUCCAUGCACACGCAUCAUUUUUUUUCUUCAUAGCUACAAUAAUUUAGUUCAUUAGACACCCUGCCGUCAAAUAAUACUAAAAAUGUUCACUAAAGUUAUUUUUUUUUGCGGCUUUACUAAAGUUAGUUAGCCACUAGUAGUGAUGGAUGAAACGAUCCCUUGCAUAUCGCGCGAUCUGAUCUUGUUGGCGAGUGAUGAUGAAUAUCAAUAGAAUCUUGGAAGAGACUUUUCGCGUUGAUUGGAGGGGCAUAUAUAAAUGGAGAAACCUUUUUCUUUUCU
Molecule: long non-coding RNA, 6875 nt
Filed under: Triticum aestivum (bread wheat)
Lineage: Eukaryota; Viridiplantae; Streptophyta; Magnoliopsida; Poales; Poaceae
Description: long non-coding RNA (TAES_LNC014684)
Rfam family: tRNA (bases 349-436)
Source: RNAcentral